Molecule: long non-coding RNA, 2094 nt
Filed under: Sus scrofa (pig)
Lineage: Eukaryota; Metazoa; Chordata; Mammalia; Artiodactyla; Suidae
Description: lncRNA (ENSSSCG00070006340.1)
Source: RNAcentral
CAGCCGCUGUCCAGAGGGAGCCAUUUAUGCUUCAUUGAAUUCAGCCAGUAGUUAGGUCUGCCUCUGGCAGUGAACAGAAGAAAGCAGCCAAGGGUUCACUCCCCCGAGCCAGCACGCAAGGGUGUCCGUGCAGCUGGACUUUCAGGUGUGUCACGCUGGGGCUGAGGCCUCCGGAGGGACUCCUAGAAGGGAGGCGUGCGUGUAAAGCGCCAUCCCUCAGCAGCCCACGACCUCGGACGGUUUGCCACUGUGGCCAGUGUUUUAUUGAUGCUUCUGAGGCCAUAGAGCACGCACGGGGAAGUUCUGAGCACACGGAGGACAAGCCAGGGCGGUGCUGUGUGGCCGCAGUCAACCCUAAGUAGGGGUCCGAGUGGGGGACGGUCGCUAACACCUCGAUUCCUCAUGUCUGUGUUUCUGCAGCUUGGAGCUUGGAGAGUGUGUGUGAGAGCGACCUCGCUGACAGCAACCUCGCAGAAAGUGAUCGAGGUAAGAACAGCUCUCAGGUAGGAGCCAGUGGGAGAGGGUUCCCGGGACACUUGGAACUUAGGCCUGCUGCUUGGAGGGUGGGGCGGGUGAGUGUGCAAUUGCAAAAGAGAAAGAAAUUGGUGUAAAGAUGUUCGUCGCCUAUGUUCCUAAGGAGGGGGAGCAGGUAUGAGAUGCCCGAAUGUUGGCAUCUGUGCUCACGUUGUGUUGGCGGGCCUCAGUCCCUGGAGCAGAGGGAAGGCCUGGGCACCUGGAGGAAAAACCCGGGUGAUGCUGUGUGACCCGCCGUCACCUCGGGGAAGCCGGGGAAACGGGAGGGCCACUCCUUCUCACGCCUCGCUUCCCCGCGGUGUGUUUCUACAGACUCGGUGGCGGAGCGCACCGACUGCCGCCAGGAUGAGGAGGCUGCAGGAACUCACGACGACGAUGUUGUGGAGGCCGGUGGGAGUGAGAAGACUGAGGCAAAGCCCCGGGCUGGGGGACAUGAGGACGAGGCGGCCCCAGUACCUGAGGUGGAGGUGGAGGAGGAGGCGGGCCAGCCCCGUGAAAAUGGCCAGGAGGAGUCCUUAGCCAUCGCCUGGGCUGAGCCGGAAGACGAGCCUGGCCCCAAGGUGGACGGGGUGGACGAUGAAAUCUGUGAGUAUUCUGGAGCCCGGCUCUGCUGAGGAGAAGUCCAGGUGUUGAGGAAAUGGGGGGGGGCCCGCGAGGGAGGCGGGGUGGGGGGCUCUCCUGCUCCUUUGGUUGCAGAGACACCCUGAUUCUGGGUUCCUCCUGGGAAUGAGGGUGAAGGAUGGGGUGAAAGAGACGGACUUCCCAAGAAGGGCCACCCCAGGUUCUAGGGUCCCUGGACGAAAGGAGGCUCUUUGUAUGGCGUGGGUAGGUGUCGGGGGACACGGCCGGGGGGGUGGGAGGGUGGUGCGUGUGAGGGCCUGCUGGUGUGAUUGGCAAUCAGUGUGAGUGGGUGUGUGCUGUGGGGAGCUGUUUGUGGCUUAGCACCACACAGCUGUCCAGCUUCUAAUUGAGGAGUCUCACGAUGACCGCAGGCUAACCGUCCAUUCCCUCGUUCUGCCCGCACCGGCUGGGAGCAAGGGUUUGGGGGAAAGGCAUUGCUUCCUCUGUUGGUCUUUCUUUUCCUUUUCGCUUCCCUCUCUGCCUUGUGUGGACUUUGAUACCGUUGUUUCAAAGUGCCAGGGACUCGAGCCCCUUCAGGCUGUGAGUGUCCCGAGGAGUGUUGUGAACGCUGUGCUCCACCCGCACCUCCUGCCCACUCUGGGCAGCCACCCUUCCAGCCUCUGCUCAGGAGUGGUGUGUCAGACACUUGAUGCGCAUGACAUCAGAGAGUCUUUGUCCUUCUGUGCCUGACUUGCUUCGCUUGAAAUGCUGUCCUCCAGCGAGUUCCUGUCGAGGCUCAGUGGUCAUGAACCCGACUGGUAUCUCUGAGGAAGCGGAUUCGACCCUUGGCCUUGCUCAGUGGCGGCAGAGGUCCCAGACGCGGCUGGUAUCCAGCUUUGCUGCGGCUGGGGUGUGGGCCGGUGGCUACAGCUCUGAUUUGCCGCCUCGCCUGGGAAUUUCCAUAUGCCGCGGGGGCCGCUCUCAAACCCCGAAAGGAAU